Molecule: transfer RNA, 75 nt
Filed under: Streptomyces filamentosus
Lineage: Bacteria; Bacillati; Actinomycetota; Actinomycetes; Kitasatosporales; Streptomycetaceae
Description: tRNA-Thr
Source: RNAcentral
UGGUGGCCUGGGAGGGCGCCGGUCGUCCGGUGGUGUCGGACGGCGGGCCCGGGUUCGUCGCCUGAGCCGUCGGCC